Molecule: ribosomal RNA, 254 nt
Filed under: uncultured bacterium
Lineage: Bacteria
Description: partial 16S ribosomal RNA
Rfam family: Bacterial small subunit ribosomal RNA
Source: RNAcentral
UACGUAGGGGGCAAGCGUUGUCCGGAAUUAUUGGGCGUAAAGAGCUCGUAGGCGGUGUGUCGCGUCGGCCGUGAAAACCUGCAGCUUAACUGUGGGCUUGCGGUCGAUACGGGCAUCACUGGAGUUCGGCAGGGGAGACUGGAAUUCCUGGUGUAGCGGUGAAAUGCGCAGAUAUCAGGAGGAACACCGGUGGCGAAGGCGGGUCUCUGGGCCGAUACUGACGCUGAGGAGCGAAAGCGUGGGGAGCGGACAGG